RNAcentral lists this ribosomal RNA (207 nucleotides) under uncultured bacterium. RNAcentral's name for it is "partial 16S ribosomal RNA". It matches the Rfam family "Bacterial small subunit ribosomal RNA", at positions 568 to 774 of the family's 1533-position model. The record is from RNAcentral.
CGCGUAGGCGGGAGGGCAAGUCGGUCGUGAAAUCCUCCGGCUCAACCGGAGAACGUCGGCCGAUACUGCCUUUCUUGAGGGAUGCAGAGGAGACUGGAAUUCCCGGUGUAGCGGUGAAAUGUGUAGAGAUCGGGAGGAACACCGGUGGCGAAGGCGGGUCUCUGGGCAUCUCCUGACGCUGAGGCGCGAAAGCGUGGGGAGCAAACG